This 404-nucleotide ribosomal RNA is filed under the name uncultured prokaryote. RNAcentral describes it as "bacterial SSU rRNA". It matches the Rfam family "Bacterial small subunit ribosomal RNA", at positions 355 to 776 of the family's 1533-position model. The record is from RNAcentral.
UGGGGAAUAUUGCGCAAUGGAGGGAACUCUGACGCAGCAACGCCGCGUGAAGGAUGAAGGCUUUCGGGUUGUAAACUUCUUUGAUCGGGGACGAAGAUGACGGUACCCGAGGAACAAGCCACGGCUAACUACGUGCCAGCAGCCGCGGUAAUACGUAGGGGGCGAGCGUUGUCCGGAAUGACUGGGCGUAAAGGGCGCGUAGACGGCUUUUUAAGUCUGGAGUGAAAGGCCUGCUUUCAAGGUGGGAAGUGCUUUGGAGACUGGAAGGCUUGAGUGCGGAAGAGGUAAGUGGAAUUCCCAGUGUAGCGGUGAAAUGCGUAGAGAUUGGGAAGAACACCAGUGGCGAAGGCGACUUACUGGGCCGUAACUGACGUUGAUGCGCGAAAGCGUGGGGAGCGAACAGG